CCGGGAGAGGUGCUGCCCAGAGCAGGAGCCCCGGGCGGGGGGCCAAAGCUAUGUGACCUCAUAGCCAGCCCCUGAGGACAGCAGAAGGAGCCUUAGCCAAGACUCAGUUCCAUGUCUGCCUGGAAUCCCAGAGCUAAUCAUGGGCCAGAAGGAGACCAGAGCCCCACUUUGCAGGUGCCGGGGAGAAGAGAGUGGGCAGGGAGCCAGAGGGAAGGCCCGGAGGGAGCCCCAUCCUCCCUGCCACCUGCUGGCCCUGACCCUACAGGGAGGGAGCUGACCCCAAUGUCCGAGGGCCCCUUCCCAGCACCAGCAUCGAUGCUACGGUUCUCCGGUUACUUGGUCACACUUGCAGCUGCUUCUCUUCCUGGCUGCACAAAGGGAGAGCUUGCUGAAUCCUUGGGAUGCAGGAAUUCCAGGAGCAAGUACCCAACUAUUACAGACCUCCACCGGUUACUAAGCAGGGCCUUUGGAGAUACAUUUCUAAUAACCCAGAUAGAGUGAAGAGCAGAGGUGUCCUUGGGGGUGAUCUCAGGGACACCAGAAGAUCCCUGCUUCUAAAACACCUCCACCACCUUCCUGGUGAUGAGUGAAUGAGGAAAAAUCUUGUCUACAGAGAGAGCACUUCCCAAGUGUCUGUUGACUACAAGUUGCUAAUAAUCAGUUUUUUCUCAAGAUUAAGUUUCUGAUGAAGGAAAAAAGGGGAAGAAAGAUGGGGGCCUGUAACUUUGAUUGGAGAGGAAAGAAAGAAAUUCGGGAGGGAGAAGGAAAGCUGUGCUGUUGCAGGUCCAUCCACGUUAGGGUCUUGGGGACAGGACAGCUCAGCAUGUGCAGCUGCCACUGAGGCUCGGGUGCCCAGAUCACUGGGGGGAUGUCAGCACACCUGGCUGGGUCUUUUUGGGUCCUUCCUCAGAGUCAUUCAGCUGGCAAAUCAGAGGGCAGCAGGGAGCCCUGUCCCCCCUUCCCAACACUUAUAAACCAAUAAUCCAGCGUUGAGUCUGGUGAAGGUGGGGAGAGUGGUGUUUGCUCUGGUUGCUCCUGUGGCAAAAGCCUAUACUAAGGUGUUCAGCAGCUUUAUUUUGGUGAUUUGUGUACAAUUAUAUCCAUCCCUUGGGUUUGUA
Molecule: long non-coding RNA, 1118 nt
Filed under: Vulpes vulpes (red fox)
Lineage: Eukaryota; Metazoa; Chordata; Mammalia; Carnivora; Canidae
Description: lncRNA (ENSVVUG00000017617.1)
Source: RNAcentral